UACGGAGGGUGCAAGCGUUACUCGGAAUCACUGGGCGUAAAGCGCGCGUAGGCGGAUUAUCAAGUCUUUUGUGAAAUCUAAGAGCUUAACUGGUAAACUGCUUGAGAAACUGGUAAGCUAGAGUUAGGUAGAGGUAGAUGGAAUUCUCGGUGUAGGGGUAAAAUCCGUAGAGAUCAAGAGGAAUACCCAUUGCGAAGGCGAUCUACUAGA
RNAcentral lists this ribosomal RNA (210 nucleotides) under uncultured bacterium. Its description in RNAcentral is "partial 16S ribosomal RNA". It matches the Rfam family "Bacterial small subunit ribosomal RNA", at positions 524 to 733 of the family's 1533-position model. The record is from RNAcentral.